GGAGUCGGCCAGGCAAUCGCCCCAGCGCAAGCCAGGGAGGAAAGUCCGGGCUCCAAAGGGUAGAGUGCCAGGUAACGCCUGGGAGGCGCGAGCCUACGGAAAGUGCAGCAGAAAAUAAACCGCCUGUUUUUCAUUCGUGAGAGGCAGGUAAGGGUGAAAUGGUGCGGUAAGAGCGCACCGCGCGGCCGGUAACGGGCGUGGCAGUGUAAACCCCACUCGGAGCAAGACCAAAUAGGAAUCCGCUAAUCGUGACCCGCGAUGGGAUUCGGGUAGGUCGCUAUAGGUGUCCGGCGACGGGCAUCACAGAUGAAUGAUUGUCCUCGACAGAACCCGGCUUACCGGCCGGCUCCUUAU
RNAcentral lists this RNase P RNA (354 nucleotides) under Pseudomonadales bacterium. RNAcentral's name for it is "RNase P RNA component class A". It matches the Rfam family "Bacterial RNase P class A". From Rfam's summary of the family: Ribonuclease P (RNase P) is a ubiquitous endoribonuclease, found in archaea, bacteria and eukarya as well as chloroplasts and mitochondria. Lineage: Bacteria; Pseudomonadati; Pseudomonadota; Gammaproteobacteria; Pseudomonadales. RNAcentral also lists the same sequence under 1 other name. The record is from RNAcentral.